AGCAAGUGCGGUGCUAUACAUGCAAGUCGAGCGGGGAGCCUUGAGACGGAGGCUUCGGCCAAAGUCUUAAGGAUCCUAGCGGCGAACGGGUGAGUAACGCGUGGGCAACCUGCCCUAUCGCCCGGGAUAACCCUCGGAAACGAGGGCUAAUACCGGAUGCGGUCACCGGCUCGCAUGAGCGGGUGACGAAAGGGCCAUGGGUCCGCGAUAGGAUGGGCCCGCGUCCCAUUAGCUAGUUGGUGGGGUAACGGCCCACCAAGGCGACGAUGGGUAGCCGGCCUGAGAGGGUGGACGGCCACACUGGCACUGAGACACGGGCCAGACUCCUACGGGAGGCAGCAGUAGGGAAUCUUGCGCAAUGGGCGAAAGCCUGACGCAGCGACGCCGCGUGGGGGAUGAAGGUCUUCGGAUCGUAAACCCCUGUCUUUGGGGACGAAGCAUGACGGUACCCAAGGAGGAAGCCCCGGCUAACUACGUGCCAGCAGCCGCGGUAAAACGUAGGGGGCGAGCGUUGUCCGGAAUUACUGGGCGUAAAGGGUGCGUAGGCGGCCGCUUAAGUCCUGUGUGAAAGGCCCCGGCUUAACCGGGGAGGGUCAUGGGAAACUGGGCGGCUUGAGUGCCGGAGAGGGUGGCGGAAUUCCCGGUGUAGCGGUGAAAUGCGUAGAGAUCGGGAGGAACACCAGUGGCGAAGGCGGCCACCUGGACGGCAACUGACGCUGAGGCACGACAGCUGGGGGAGCAAACAGGAUUAGAUACCCUGGUAGUCCCAGCCGUAAACGAUGAGUGCUAGGUGUUGCGGG
RNAcentral lists this ribosomal RNA (800 nucleotides) under bacterium enrichment culture clone XM70R19. Its description in RNAcentral is "bacterial SSU rRNA". It matches the Rfam family "Bacterial small subunit ribosomal RNA", at positions 38 to 829 of the family's 1533-position model. The record is from RNAcentral.